CAGGAUUUUAGUUCAAAGGACAAUCUUGUUUCUUCAGCUCAUACUGAUGGUAGUUUGGAGAUAGAGAGAAGAGCUUCUCAUCAUGAAUCAGACAAUGAAAAUGAAAUACAAAUUCAAAGUCAAUUAAAAAAAGACUUUCCUAAACAGUUUGAUCAGGUUUCUGUCUUUAAAUCAAUACGAAAAGAUUUUUGUUUAGUGAGAGAAAACAGCAAAGAGACAUUUUCUGGAAAGGAGAAAAAUAGAGACCUAACUUAUCAUGAACGCGAAAAACGAUUGGAUAAACCCCAUAAAGGUUUGGAUUCAAGGUUGAAAAGCAGUUUUUUUGAUAAAGCAGCUAAUCAAGUUGAAGAAACAUUACAUACUCAUUUACCACAAAACCCAGAAACAAACUUUAGGGACUCCAGCUACCCAUUUGCCAAUAAAGAAUCCAUUGGUUCGGAACUGGGGAAUUCGUUUGCAUCAAAUAUUAGAAUUAAAGAAGAACCUUUGGAUGAUGAGUAUGACAAAGCAGUGGCGCCUCAGCAGGGACUACUAGACAGAGUUAAAGACGAACCUGACAAUGCUCAAGUAAACACCUCACCCCGCCUCCUUCUGUUCACAAUGAGCUUACUCAUUUGAGACAGGAAGUGCCUAAAGUGAAAUAAAUAGUUUGACAGGAUGAAAAG
RNAcentral lists this long non-coding RNA (665 nucleotides) under Rattus norvegicus (Norway rat). Its description in RNAcentral is "long non-coding RNA NONRATT023615". Lineage: Eukaryota; Metazoa; Chordata; Mammalia; Rodentia; Muridae. The record is from RNAcentral.